CUUAUAUUAUACAGUGAUUUUUGAUGUUUUAAAAUGUUUGCCAAAGGCAGUGAAAAAUGUAUAAUGCUAUGAUCUUAUUUUUAAAAGGAAAAUUGAAAAGAGAACAAGUUGCCUUUUCAAUUCAUUUUCUGAUGUUUACAUGUAGCUCCAUCGAAAGCUGGAGGAGCUCAGAGAUCAUCUAGAAGGCAAUGUGAAAGGAUACUCUCUCAGAGUAAAUCUCCACUCUAGAUUGGAAGGGCUUAAAGAUGAACUCUGGAGGAGUAGAGGCUACGACUUAAGAGUAACUAUUACUGAUCAAAGGAGCUACUUUUCCAUUCGCAAACACUGCUUUGCGCUAUGGGUUUGGGCUCCUUCUGUUUUACAUCUUGUUGGAGACUUUCUUGACUUCCAUUUGACUUUUUUGAACUCUUGUUUCUGUCUUUCAACAUUUUCCUUUCUUUUCCCUCUUUCCCAGAUUUUUCUCCACACUUUAAGCUUUCUCUUGUGUCCUUUAAAUCACUUUUCAAAACGCAAUUUUUCUUUUUAAACUUGUCUAUUAAUUUGUCUGUUAAUGUGUUUUUCUUCUUUAAGACUGUGGUAGUGUAACUUAUUUUCAUUCCACAGUAUGCCAGCUUGCUUAUUUAUUUUGCAGCAAGUUCAUUAGUCAUUCUUACCCUCUUGGUAUAAAUUUUUAAUAUGAAUUAUAGAACAUCCUCCAUUUGUACACUGUCCCCUUCUGUAAGCUCAUAGUUUCUUUUCUAUCACCUAAAUUUGUUCUCUGAACCUCUCCCUUUUCCUUUUAUUGUCCUU
This 789-nucleotide long non-coding RNA is filed under the name Fukomys damarensis (Damara mole-rat). RNAcentral's name for it is "lncRNA (ENSFDAG00000030531.1)". Lineage: Eukaryota; Metazoa; Chordata; Mammalia; Rodentia; Bathyergidae. The record is from RNAcentral.